Molecule: ribosomal RNA, 414 nt
Filed under: uncultured microorganism
Description: bacterial SSU rRNA
Rfam family: Archaeal small subunit ribosomal RNA
Source: RNAcentral
CAGCAGCCGCGGUAAUACCGGCGGCCCGAGUGGCGGUCACUAUUAUUGGGCUUAAAGCGUCCGUAGCCGGGGUGGGAAGUCCUCCGGGAAAUCUGGCCGCUUAACGGUCAGAAUGCCGGAGGAUACUCCCAGCCCAGGGAGCGGGAGAGGCCGAGGGGAUUCCCGGAGUAGGGGUGAAAUCCUAUAAUCCCGGGAGGACCACCUGUGGCGAAGGCGCUCGGCUGGAACGCGUCCGACGGUGAGGGACGAAGGCCAGGGGAGCAAACCGGAUUAGAUACCCGGGUAGUCCUGGCUGUAAACGAUGCGGACGUUGUGUCGGACAAGCUAUGAGCUUGUCCGGUGCCGGAGGGAAACCGUUAAGUCCGCCGCCUGGGGAGUACGGCCGCAAGGCUGAAACUUAAAGGAAUUGGCGGG